CAAUUCUCGUAGUGAUAUCUUGGACAAAUUUUUGUCAGAAAGCAGUAUUAGCCGCUAUAAUCCUCAGAUCAUUGCUGAGGGCAAGGCCAAACCUAGGUUUGUUUCCCUAAGUUCAUCAGUUCUUGAAGGGGAAUCUGUGAUUAAUGAUAUUAGCUACUUGCAUUCUCCUAACACCAUAGAUGAUUUGAAGCCAGUAACUCAACUUCUUGUAGUUGACAUCACUUCAAUCAGAGGGAUAAAGUUGCUUCAUGAAGGAAUUCUUUAUCUGAUUCGAG
This 275-nucleotide unclassified non-coding RNA is filed under the name Hevea brasiliensis (rubber tree). The record is from RNAcentral. Lineage: Eukaryota; Viridiplantae; Streptophyta; Magnoliopsida; Malpighiales; Euphorbiaceae.